GCGCUUCGCUCCCGGAGCCCACACU
Molecule: unclassified non-coding RNA, 25 nt
Filed under: synthetic construct
Source: RNAcentral